RNAcentral lists this unclassified non-coding RNA (313 nucleotides) under fungal sp. RNAcentral's name for it is "partial internal transcribed spacer region". The record is from RNAcentral. Lineage: Eukaryota; Fungi.
AAGUCGUAACAAGGUUUCCGUGAACCUGCGGAAGGAUCAUUAACACGUAUCCAACGUUAAACAACUCCGUGAACCUUCAGCCUGCUCUCGUAGCCCACGCGGCAACAGCAAUCCCGGUAAAUCAUUGACGACCAGUUUUGAUUCGGGACCUCUGUUACGAUGUGAGAAGUUACAGUUACGAUCGAGCGGUAGAGUCAGUGGCACAGGGUCCCCAUGCCCCUUACCUCUACCCCAUUACUAAUGACUAGCUUAGCGGUAACGCGCUGAGUAAAAAAAAACCGAACAACUGUUAACAAUGGAUAUCUUGGUUCUC